Molecule: long non-coding RNA, 209 nt
Filed under: Manihot esculenta (cassava)
Lineage: Eukaryota; Viridiplantae; Streptophyta; Magnoliopsida; Malpighiales; Euphorbiaceae
Description: long non-coding RNA (MESC_LNC010418)
Source: RNAcentral
UUCCAUGGCCAGUUUAAAGUUUCCUGAUGUUUUUGACCUUGAGUCGCAUAUUACCCCUUCCAACAUAACUAAUCACAUUUCUCGGAGGCUUUUAGAUACUCCGUUGUAUCUUAUUCGAGCACCUCUUCCAAAUGAGAGGAUAGUGCUUCCUUACCCUCGCCCACCUGGUUUAGUGGAUCCCCAAGAGGUUCGUAGCAUAGUGUUUUUCC